Molecule: non-coding RNA, 935 nt
Organism: Parasteatoda tepidariorum (common house spider)
Lineage: Eukaryota; Metazoa; Arthropoda; Arachnida; Araneae; Theridiidae
Source: RefSeq, a predicted model, not a curated record
AAAUAACAUAUUUUGUUAAAAAAUUUCAGUAUUGGUAUUAGUUUUUGUAUUAAAUUUUUAAAUAAUCAUCACUUAAAAUCUGGGAAUAUUAAAAUGAGUCGUGAAGAGUAUAUUGGAAACAUGUAACAAAAUAUAUUUUAAUCAUAGGUUUAAUUGCAACGAAGUUCAUUGAGUAGUAUGAUUGAGAAAUAAUUUUAAAAAUUAAAAUGCAGUCUCGUUUUAAUGUUUUGUAAGUUAAAUAUUUUUUAUUAAAAAAUUUGGGCUAAAAAGAAUCGAGAUAUUCGUAACAUUUUCAUAUUUUGUUCUUAUUGAAAACUAAUACUAGUACAAAAAAGAAAAACACAAUAAUGUACAUUUUCCCAAAAUCUAUCAUUUAAAAUUCGCAAGCUUUAUUGUUUAAAAUAUUUUAACAGAUGCUCGACUGUUUUAUUCUUAUCUGAUGUAACAUCAACGGUGUAACACAUGCUACGCAAAAAAAGUCAUCUACACAUAACCCAUUUUGCUUUGUUUAUUUAAUUUAUUAUUUAUGUAAUAAUCAAUAAUCGUUUACUAUAGAACUUAGCAGCGAUUUUUAUAAAGUAUUAUUUUUCUCUUGCUUCGUGAUUUUACGACAUGUUCUUAGAAUACAGAAUUUCAUGAAGAAAUUGGUAAUCAACUGUAGAAGAUUCUUCGCGGAUCGAAGAAUUAGGAAAGAAAUUCAAGGUUAAUUAACUAAGACACUCUGAAUUGAACUGAAAAACUUUUUCUCAAUGAAAGUUUUAAAAGCUGGAAAAAAUUUAAAGGAAUGUAAGUACGAGAAUUCUCUUAACAAAAGUGUAAAGAAGAGGAGAUAAAGUGAAUCCAACAAAUGCCGUAAGAAUUGAUGGAGAAAAUCAAAUAUCUCUUCUGAAGAAAAUGUUUGAUAGAAAUGAAGAUGAAAAAAAAUAUUGAAGAUG